Molecule: ribosomal RNA, 483 nt
Filed under: uncultured bacterium
Lineage: Bacteria
Description: bacterial SSU rRNA
Rfam family: Bacterial small subunit ribosomal RNA
Source: RNAcentral
AACGAACGCUGGCGGCAGGCCUAGCACAUGCAAGUCGAGCGCCCCAGCGAUGGGGAGCGGCGGACGGGUGAGUAACGCGUGGGAACGUGCCUCUUGCUACGGAAUAGCCUCGGGAAACUGGGAGUAAUACCGUAUGUGCCCUACGGGGGAAAGAUUUAUCGGCAAGAGAUCGGCCCGCGUUGGAUUAGGUAGUUGGUGGGGUAAUGGCCUACCAAGCCGACGAUCCAUAGCUGGUUUGAGAGGAUGAUCAGCCACACUGGGACUGAGACACGGCCCAGACUCCUACGGGAGGCAGCAGUGGGGAAUCCUAGACAAUGGGCGCAAGCCUGAUCUAGCCAUGCCGCGUGAGCGAUGAAGGCCUUAGGGUUGUAAAGCACUUUCACUUGGGAAGAAAGCUCAUCGUUAAUAGCGGUGAGCCCUGACAUUACCUUGAGAAGAAGCACCGGCUAACUCCGUACCAGCAGCCGCGGUAAUGUACAGUGU